UCAGAGAAAAUAGAAUAAAUGGAUGAGGUA
This 30-nucleotide non-coding RNA is filed under the name Rattus norvegicus (Norway rat). Lineage: Eukaryota; Metazoa; Chordata; Mammalia; Rodentia; Muridae. The record is from RNAcentral.